RNAcentral lists this transfer RNA (69 nucleotides) under Cystopelta sp. Aust. Mus. C444602. RNAcentral describes it as "tRNA-Val". The record is from RNAcentral. Lineage: Eukaryota; Metazoa; Mollusca; Gastropoda; Stylommatophora; Cystopeltidae.
UAGUAUGAAGUAUAAGUAAGUUUAUAUGUUUUUACUUACAAUAAAAAAGAACUCAUAAGAGCAUACUAU